Molecule: ribosomal RNA, 468 nt
Filed under: uncultured bacterium
Lineage: Bacteria
Description: partial 16S ribosomal RNA
Rfam family: Bacterial small subunit ribosomal RNA
Source: RNAcentral
GACGAACGCUCGCCGCGUGCUCAACACAUGCAACCCGAACGGAAAGGCCCUGCUUUUGUGUGGUGCUCGAGUGGCGAACGGGUGAGUAACACGUGAGUAACCUGCCCUUGACUUUGGGAUAACUUCAGGAAACUGUGGCUAAUACCGGAUAGGAGCUCCUGCUGCAUGGGGUGGGUUGGAAAGUUUCGGCGGUUGGGGAUGGACUCGCGGCUUAUCAGCUUGUUGGUGGGGUAGUGGCUUACCAAGGCUUUGACGGGUAGCCGGCCUGAGAGGGUGACCGGCAACAUUGGGACUGAGAUACGGCCCAGACUCAUACGGGAGGCAGCAGUGGGGAAUAUUGCGCAAUGGGCGGAAGCCUGAUCCAGCACCGCCGCGUGCGGGAUGAAGGACUUCGGGUUGUAAACCGCUUUCGCCUGUGACGAAGCGUGAGUGAGGAUAAUGAGUAGAGACACAGGGGGUGAGUACCAG